This 504-nucleotide ribosomal RNA is filed under the name uncultured bacterium. RNAcentral describes it as "partial 16S ribosomal RNA". It matches the Rfam family "Bacterial small subunit ribosomal RNA", at positions 28 to 507 of the family's 1533-position model. The record is from RNAcentral.
GACGAACGCUGGCGGCGUGCUUAACACAUGCAAGUCGAACGGUGAAGCGCUUGCCUUUUUGGUGGGUGUGGAUGAGUGGCGAACGGGUGAGUAACACGUGAGUAACCUGCCCUCUCCUUCUGGAUAACCUCAUGAAAGUGGGGCUAAUACGGGGUAUUCCGGGUCUGUCGCAUGGCGGGUUUGGGAAAGAUUGCGCCUUUGGGUGUUUUCGGUGGGGGAUGGGCUCGCGGCUUAUUAGCUUGUUGGUGGGGGGAUGGCCUACCACGGCGGUGACGGGUGGCCGGCGUGAGAGGGUGGACGGCCAGACUGGGACUGAGACACGACCCAGACUCCUGCGGGAGGCAGCGGUGGGGAAUAUUGCACAAUGGGCGCAAGCCUGAGGCAGCGACGCCGCGUGAGGGAGGGAGGCCUUCGGGUUGUGAACCUCUUUCGCGAGGGAAGCAGGCCUGCUCCUGUGUGGGUGGGUUGACGGUAGCUGGAUAAGAAGCGCCGGCUAACUACGUG